UGCAAGUCGAGCGGACAGAUGGGAGCUUGCUCCCUGAUGUUAGCGGCGGACGGGUGAGUAACACGUGGGUAACCUGCCUGUAAGACUGGGAUAACUCCGGGAAACCGGGGCUAAUACCGGAUGGUUGUCUGAACCGCAUGGUUCAGACAUAAAAGGUGGCUUCGGCUACCACUUACAGAUGGACCCGCGGCGCAUUAGCUAGUUGGUGAGGUAACGGCUCACCAAGGCGACGAUGCGUAGCCGACCUGAGAGGGUGAUCGUUCACACUGGGACUGAGACACGGCCCAGACUCCUACGGGAGGCAGCAGUAGGGAAUCGUCCGCAAUGGACGAAAGUCUGACGGAGCAACGCCGCGUGAGUGAUGAAGGUUUUCGGAUCGUAAAGCUCUGUUGUUAGGGAAGAACAAGUGCCGUUCAAAUAGGGCGGC
This 427-nucleotide ribosomal RNA is filed under the name Bacillus subtilis. RNAcentral's name for it is "bacterial SSU rRNA". It matches the Rfam family "Bacterial small subunit ribosomal RNA", at positions 56 to 473 of the family's 1533-position model. Lineage: Bacteria; Bacillati; Bacillota; Bacilli; Caryophanales; Bacillaceae. The record is from RNAcentral.